Molecule: non-coding RNA, 3229 nt
Organism: Paramuricea clavata
Lineage: Eukaryota; Metazoa; Cnidaria; Anthozoa; Malacalcyonacea; Plexauridae
Source: the annotation of a GenBank genome assembly
CGGAUUUUGACGCCAUAUGACGCCAUUUCCAUGGCAACUGGUCCGAAAACUUCAUGGUAGUUACCACUGACCAGGCUUAAUUCUGAGCCCACGGCAGUUUUAACACCCCCCUGGUUUUUUGCAAAAGAUUUGGUUUUUGCAGAUAAAUAUUUAUAGUUCUCGUUGUUUUAAAUCUUUUGUAUAAAUUUUGAGAUAUAUUUACUACCUUUGACCAUUUGGUUAAAGGUAUGCAAGUCGUACGUGUUAUUCUCGCCCGCGAAAGCCAAACAAAACCUCGAGAAAUGUGGGAAAAGAGUAUUAAAGACGAUACUUGAGUCGGGUAAAAGGUAGGAAAUGUCUAGUCAAUUUUACUCAUUCUUUAUCUUAUUUGACAUGAAAUUGAUAAGCCUAACGAUGAAAUACACUUCAUUUGUUAAGAAAACAAGCUUUCAGCUUUCUACAGUCCAAAUUUCAUAUUGUAAGGUGUAAAUUUUCCCAUUAUUUUAAUUAACAAGCUGUAUUCACAAAUACUUAAUAGUUCUAUGUAAACAACACAGAUUUGAUAUUCACAAAUUUGUACGAUAUAUACUGUCUAAACUCACUAAAGUGCAAACUAUCUUGUGUAAUAAUGUUAAAAAGGUUGACUGCAGAGACCUGAGGUCUCGUUUUAUUACUUUUAUAAACAUACUUGAUACAAUUAAAUUUAAAUUAGCAAUUUAUUUUAAAUUAGCUUGCGUAAGAUGAACGUUUAAAAGUUGUACACGUCAAAUGUAAGAACAAUUUGUUAGCCUGAGGACGGAUAGUAAACUAUCCGAAACGUAGCUAAAAUAAAAGUAUUAUCAAAAACCUCUUGUGUGAUCCUUGAUUUAAAUUAAAAACACAAAAUUAUUUAAUAUGAACAGAGGUGAAAGUUUCAGAAAAGCAAUUCAGAAAAGCAAUACUUGAUACACUUGAUGAAACUAUGUGUUUGUAGGGUUUGUGUUUAAUAUGCACCAACUUUUGUAUAAUUAUUAAAGUUACUGGGGUACUGGAAGCUAGCUUAUCCAGGAAGGUAGUUUCUGUCUACCUAUAAAAUACUGAUUGGGGACACUUUUUGUGUCAUUAUACACCUGAUUAUAAACUCCUUAAGCUUUAAGCACCAGUGCUCUCCCCUCAACAAGUAAAAUUGUUUGUUUAUCAAUUUAUAUAAAAUAGGGUGCACUAGUCUAAGGUACAAUGCAACUUUUAAAACAGCUUAAUGAAAGCAUUCCUAAGCAACAUUGUAUGUAGACUGCGAGCAAUCCCUAAAUCUUAGUCCGGGAAACAAUAAAACGAAGGAAAAUAGAGGGAUUGCUCGCAGUCUACAUUGUAUGCAGACCUUUAAGAUAGGAAUAAACCUGCAGCCAUCAGUGAUUCUGAUGCAGUGUUCAAACCAAUUUAUACUGAUCAGCUACUGUGUCGAGCUGUAAUUGCAAAUUAAUUCAUGUACAGUAAAUAUCAUAAGGUGAAGCCUGUAGUAAGGUGUAAGGGUAAAUGUCAGGAUUUUGGACAUCGCACUCAACAGAUUGUUAAAUAUCAAAGGUAGCGUCACUAGACGAAUAUUUUAAGUGUCAAUUUUAUGCAUAUUUAGACCUAACCAACCUAAAAAAUAUAGUUGCAUCUUUUGCAGCUGCUUUAACCAGGUCUAAAAAAAUAUGUACAAAAUUUACACUCAAAAUUUUCAUCGAUCUACAAAAAUCCUUCAACAUUCAGUGAUGUACAUCAGCAUUGCCAUGUAAAACCCUUUUCUCACCAAACAUGCACUUACUGCAUGUAAUAGUUGGUGCAUGGUCAACAUAGGAAUAUUUGCACAAGAAUAGACAUUACCUCUCAAUUCUAUAUUUUUCUCAUACAGAAUACAUGGUCUGCUUCAUUAAAUUAAUAUGUAGUUUUUAGAUAAUAAUUAAACUGCUUUAUAUUUUUUUAGACCAAGAAGUGUUCUCUUAAAUUAAGGGAGAGGUAUUGUCAGUGGCAAAUUGAGGAAUCUGAUGCAUUAUUUGGUGGAAUAUUGCAUGUGCAUGGUCAUGAAAUUAUUACUUCAAUGCUGCAAUCCUCAAGGUCUGAAAAUUGGAGGUUUUGUACCAACCUCUGCUAAUCAGCAGGGAUCGUUCAAAAGAUGUGCUUAAAUUAAGUAACACUUGUCUACUAGUUUUGUGAAGAAAAUGAAACACUCUUGAUGACAUAUACUAGAUUUGUUGAAAUAGUUGAACUGAGGCAAUGAUAGCAAUUCAGGCAUUUUUGGGGAACAUUUUUAAAAAUGUACUUGUUUUUAAAGAGUAAAUUUAUAUUUGACCCAUAAUUUUCUCAGAACCAAUCCAAUAUUUAUCAUUACAUUAAACAUAUUUUCAGAGGUCAAGUAUUACUAACAGUGAUUUGAGCUCUAGGUGUGGAAAUAGAAAUCACAAAAUGUUAAUAAUAAAUGAAAAUUUUAAUAAAUUUUAUAUAUUUACAUAAUUUACAUAAUACGUACUGUACUGUAAUUUAGUAUUUAUGACAACAAGUAUUUAUAAUCAUUCAAAAUUGUAUUGACAGAAUUUAAUUACAUUAAUAAGGGGGCAUUCAUUAUUGAUGUGGGGGGGAUGGGUGAGAAACUGGGGGGGACCUGAGAUUUUCCCAGAUGAAAAGGGGGACUGCAAUUCUGGUAUUAAAACCAAAUCCUGGGGGUACCUGACAUUGAAGGAAGACACAUCUACACAUUUCAAAAUUCAUGGUGAGGGUAAAAACAAAAAGAAAUCAGAUUUACAUAAACUUCAUCUUAAUAUAUUUAUGAAGUUAUCAAAUACAUCAUUUCUGAAGUUAUUCAAAACACUCACAGUACAUGUUUCAUCACAUCUAUUAAAACACUUGGGUAUCACCUCGUGUUAUAUUAAUCUGAUAAAAGGUUGCUGUUGGUACUUUGAAUAUAUUUUAAUACAAAUAUAAUAACUAACUUUCUUUUCUGCUCUCUCAGUCCCUGCUAUACAAUUGUACAAACAUGGACAUACUACAUUUAGACACAAAGAUGUACAUUUAGAUUUAAUGUACUGUAGUGUUAAAAAAUUAAAUGUGACUGUGUGUAGUACUCUUUAUUGUCAAUAAAAAAGAGUUGUGCCAUAACUUCAAUUUGUUCUUCUCCAUUUUGGCAUCCUGUGCCAUCACUUCCGGUACCUGUAUUAAUUAAACAGAUCAUUAUUAUACCACAAUCAUGUUAUUACACAUCUUUAGUAAUUAACAAAAAUAUAAUAUGUAUUGC